Molecule: long non-coding RNA, 974 nt
Filed under: Trifolium pratense (red clover)
Lineage: Eukaryota; Viridiplantae; Streptophyta; Magnoliopsida; Fabales; Fabaceae
Description: long non-coding RNA (TPRA_LNC001837)
Source: RNAcentral
UUCAUUUCAAUUCAUUGACUGCAACAUCAAGAGCAAAAGAAACUCAAACUCUUAUUUCUUUCUUCUCCACCGAAACUCACUCUCUCCACUAUAUCAUUCCCAAAUUCUUAGCCAAAUCCACAUGCAACCUCACUCUAAUGGUAGUAGAACCUUAAGGAAUCAAGUAUGAAAGAAACAACUCCUCCCCUUCCUCUCAAAAGGGCGUGAAUCCCCAUCUCACAACCAAAGGGGCAAUCUCUAAUUUCACAUGAUUUGGUCAUGCAUGUGUUAAAUUAAUAGCAUCUUCUGAGUUGAUCAAGGAUUAAGGGAUUUAAGGACCAUAAUAACAGUGAGUAAGUGGAAGAUGGAAAAGCNNNNNNNNNNNNNNNNNNNNNAGGGAGGCAGUAGAAUCAUGGAGAUUUGGAGAACUAGAUUGGUGAAAUAGGAAUUGGGAAUUGGAAGAAGUAUGUGAAACCCAUAUUCUGGACAGGGUUUCACUAAAAUGGUCAGUACUCUCUCCUCGUAACUCUGAUUUAAAUUCCGUUUGUUUCUAGUUAGCUAACGAAAUUCCAGUCGUUUAGAUGCCAAUUUCGUGAACUGGGGAGCUUUAACGAAUUCAGGAGACGCGUCUGAAGUCCAGGGUCAGAUGCAGAAUUUUGGAUUGAAUUAGCAUCGUUGUCAUCUUAUGAGUUAUUGGAAAUUCAAAUGGAGCCUUAAAGGUUGAUUUUGGAGUACAAGACAGUAGUUGCUCUUUCUUGGAUUUCAGGUGGGUUUAUCUUUAAGUAGAAACAUGGCAACCAUAAGUCCAAAGCAUAGUGUUUUAUUUCAUCAUUUAUGUUUAUGGCAUGAUUAGUAACCUAGACAACUCAUAAAUUGAUUAAUGAUGAAAUUGGACUUAAUUCGCAUUGCAUGUGACUGUAAUUAGUUGUAUCCAUCAUGAUUAGAAUGUUAGAAAUAGUUAGAGACUGUUUAGAAUUGUGAUUCUGCAGGUUUAC